RNAcentral lists this ribosomal RNA (303 nucleotides) under uncultured bacterium. RNAcentral describes it as "partial 16S ribosomal RNA". It matches the Rfam family "Bacterial small subunit ribosomal RNA", at positions 507 to 807 of the family's 1533-position model. The record is from RNAcentral.
AACAGUCGCCGCGGGAAUACGUAGGUGGCAAGCGUUGUCCGGAAUUAUUGGGCGUAAAGGGCUCGCAGGCGGUUUCUUAAGUCUGAUGUGAAAGCCCCCGGCUCAACCGGGGAGGGUCAUUGGAGACUGGGAAACUUGAGGGCAGAAGAGGAGAGUGGAAUUCCACGUGUAGCGGUGAAAUGCGUAGAGAUGUGGAGGAACACCAGUGGCGAAGGCGACUCUCUGGUCUGUAACUGACGCUGAGGAGCGAAAGCGUGGGGAGCGAACAGGAUUAGAUACCCGAGUAGUCCCUGUCUCUUAUAC